UGCUAAUACCCACUAGCCUUUCGAGUGAAAUGGAUUAUAUUAUCCGCCUAGAGAGAAGCUCGCGGCUGAUUAGCUUGUUGGUAAGGUAAGAGCUUACCAAGGCGACGAUCAGUAUCUGGUUUGAGAGGACGAUCAGACACACUGGNACUGAGACACGGUCCAGACUCCUACGGGAGGCAGCAGUGGGGAAUUUUCCGCAAUGGGCGAAAGCNUGACGGAGCAAUACCGCGUGAGGGAAGACUGCCUAUGGGUUGUAAACCUCUUUUUUCAGGGAGGAAUCAAUGACGUGUACCUGAAG
This 298-nucleotide ribosomal RNA is filed under the name uncultured cyanobacterium. RNAcentral's name for it is "partial 16S ribosomal RNA". It matches the Rfam family "Bacterial small subunit ribosomal RNA", at positions 161 to 484 of the family's 1533-position model. The record is from RNAcentral. Lineage: Bacteria; Bacillati; Cyanobacteriota.